RNAcentral lists this ribosomal RNA (253 nucleotides) under uncultured bacterium. Its description in RNAcentral is "partial 16S ribosomal RNA". It matches the Rfam family "Bacterial small subunit ribosomal RNA", at positions 524 to 776 of the family's 1533-position model. The record is from RNAcentral.
UACAGAGGUCCCGAGCGUUGUUCGGAUUUAUUGGGCGUAAAGAGCGUGUAGGCGGCUAUGCAGGUCCGUUGUGAAAACUCGAGGCUCAACCUCGAGACGCCGAUGGAAACCGUAUGGCUAGAGUCCGGAAGAGGAGAGCGGAAUUCCUGGUGUAGCGGUGAAAUGCGCAGAUAUCAGGAAGAACACCCGUGGCGAAGGCGGCUCUCUGGGACGGUACUGACGCUGAGACGCGAAAGCGUGGGGAGCGAACAGG